Molecule: non-coding RNA, 314 nt
Organism: Pelobates cultripes (western spadefoot toad)
Lineage: Eukaryota; Metazoa; Chordata; Amphibia; Anura; Pelobatidae
Source: the annotation of a GenBank genome assembly
AGGAGACAUGGCUUCAGCAAAGGUGCAAAUCAUCAAGCUGCUCCUCAUUAGUUUGGUGUCUUUAGAGCUGCAAGAACUUGCAAAACCGACAAAGCAACGAUGGACGGCAGUUCAUGGGCACCACUUCAGCUUUAACAUAAAGCCACAUGGAGGUUCAUUAUCCAGAGCCAUAUCAUCUAGCGUUGAGGAGGGUGGUUUGAUUCUGUCCAGGGAGUGAAGCAGCGAAGACCAUAGAGACUAACUGUCAGAUCCAAACACUGUCUGACCCAAGGUGCAGGUAUACUGCUGAAGGAUCCUGGCAUUUACUAAAGGAG